This 2344-nucleotide long non-coding RNA is filed under the name Physcomitrium patens. Its description in RNAcentral is "long non-coding RNA (PPAT_LNC013958)". Lineage: Eukaryota; Viridiplantae; Streptophyta; Bryopsida; Funariales; Funariaceae. The record is from RNAcentral.
AUAUAUAUAUAUAUAUAUAUAAAUAUUCAUAUUCAGGUUUAUUAGUGUGUGAAAUUCUAAAUUUUGAAUUCCGCACUUGAACUUAUUUACACAAAACAGUAAGAUCAGCGCAUUUAAUAAAAUUUCUGUGAAACAUGUGCUUGUGUUAGUACCAAGAUGGUACUUAGUAACCUCCUGGAGACAAUUCAUCACAUAUUUGAGAUUCGGAGAGUAGACAAGAAACCUAAGUCAUUACAUUAUUUCGGUUGCUCAAGUCAUUUGUUAAAUUUGGUUUAACUACUACAUUCGUAAUUUGCAAGCCCGAAUGCAAUAUAAAAAUCAAUUUCCUAAGCAUGUAGUAGGAGAGCAAUAGGGCCUUGGAAGUAACGAAUUUUCACUCAUCACCACACUUUCGCGAGGAGUUUGAUAUUGAGAAAUUCACAGGCACACACGAUUUAAAAGAAAACAUGGACAAUACUGCAAUCUAGCAGGGACAGAAAGCGUUCAGGAUGCGCCACUAUGGCACACAAGAAUGACAUGGGUUAUUCACAAAGGCUGUAGAUCUACAACGGCAAGCGAACAUCCCAGAUCACUCAAUGGACACUUAUCAUGGUCGGGAAUUACUGUUAUCUGCAAUGCGUCGACAUCGUUGAGAUAAGCCGCGGUAAGAGAUAUAAAUGGCUUCGAGGAGUCGGACACAUACGUUGAAAGCUGCGCAAUGGUUACAGAAUAUGGGGAGCCCCACCUUGACAAAUGAACCAGUGAGAAAUGAUGGUUACUUGUAACUUUGCAUACAACUUCUGAAAUUCAGAGCACGAACGCAGCACUGAAUAUCCGAAAUCCGACUGAAACUGCAACUCCGCUAACAAUCUUACAAGCCGAGAAAUGAAGCAUCAUUUUAAACAGAAAGCGAACCGCUGACUGGAAUGGGCACCAUGUUUCGUCAUCUUCACGACAAUAUCUUGUUGGACUAAUAUAGUUAAGGCAUUCGUAAAACUUUAAGCAUCACAUAGCCAUAACUUAGUCACUGAAGACAGGUACUAAACGACUAUUCAAGCAUGUGAUCAAUAACAGAUAAGCAAUGAGCCUAGAUGCAUUAUGGAACGUUGCCCAAAAUGUGUCUUCCGCAGUCCUAACUAUAACCUACAUGGCCAAAACUCAACAUAACGGGAACGACUUCUGCUAAUAUUAAAAGUGAGUUACAACGCGUACCCAUCCAGAAACUCAUUGCCUCCGAUACUACAGAGUAAAGCCAACUUCCACAUUCAAACAUACUGAAACCGAAUUGAAUUGGUCUUGCAUCAUUACGAUGUCAUCAGCAACCGUCUCGAUCACAAGUAGACAAAAAUCCCAACGAUAUGAUGUGAAAGACAACAUUAAUGCGGUAAAAUUAUCAUGAAAAGUAAAAUAUCAUGACCAGGGCCUUGAACUGGAACAACGAACACGCUCAAUUGAACAAAAUUUUAUAAGAGGAAACACUGAAACAAGACCUGCUUCUCAUUAAACAACUGUUGGCUGCAGCAGAGCAUGAUGACACUAUUACUAGUGACUAAAAACCAGGUAAAUAUCCUUGACGUUUGCAUCCUGCCACACAAACCAGUAAACGACUUACAUGUUAUGGUGAGACAAUUUAAAGAUUGUGCAACUACAUCUGCAGGAACUAGGAAAUUCUCGUCAAAGAAACUACGAAUCUCUACAAAACACCCGGAUCUGCAAGAAUUCAAUAUAUUUGACAUGAUUCGAACAUUGCAGAAUCAAAACAAUUCGAAUAAAGAACUACGAGUGAAGGGCUCGUUUAAAGAUGUGCAUAAAGUGUUCUUGCCCCGUGAUGAAAAAGACGAGGAUAUCAAAAGCGAAAUACCAAAUUAUUUGACUUUCUACAGUAUUAAAGUUAAGAGAGAGAGGCCAACCGAAAAUUACGCCUAAAAAUUCGAUCCUAGCGCGUUAAUCCAUCUAAUGCAACGAAUCCAUGCAACCCAGCAUAACGGAAAUCUGCAUUCUUGUACCAUAUAUUAAUCUUAAUAGCGAGCUCCUUCCAACACGAAGCUCUGAAUUUAGAUGAGAUCAGACAUACACCGCACCUACAAAUUAAUCGCCACGGCAUGGCGCCGAGGGUCUCCAACCAAGCAAAUUAAGAUAUUCAAUGUUGCUUCCCACAUACCACGUAAGAAUCGUAGUUCAUGGAAUAUAACCCUAAAAAGUGAUUUACGAGGUUGGAUUACCAUUUCGAAACUUUUUAAGUUCGGAACUAACAGUAAAACCCUAAAAGACAAGCUUACAACCCUAAUCGAAAAGGGUCAGUAGCAAUUUUCAGACCAGCAAAACGAAAACAAUGUAUAACAUUUCCACACGCAGUCCUUUUACC